GACGAACGCUGGCGGCGUGCCUAACACAUGCAAGUCGAACGGAAAGGCCCUGCUUUUGUGGGGUGCUCGAGUGGCGAACGGGUGAGUAACACGUGAGUAACCUGCCCCUGACUUUGGGAUAACUUCAGGAAACUGGGGCUAAUACCGCAUAGGAUCUCCUGCUGCAUGGUGGGGGUUGGUAAGUUUCGGCGGUUGGGGAUGGACUCGCGGCUUAUCAGCUUGUUGGUGGGGUAGUGGCUUACCAAGGCUUUGACGGGUAGCCGGCCUGAGAGGGGGACCGGCCACAUUGGGACUGAGCUACGGCACAGACUCGUACGGGAGGCAGCGGAGGGGAGUAUUGCACAAUGGGCGGGAGCCUGAUGCGGCAACGCCGCGUGCGGGAUGACGUCCUUCGGGUUGUGAACCGAUUUCGCCUGAGACGAGGCGUGAGUGACGGUAACGGGUAAAGAAGCACCGGCUAACUACGUG
This 468-nucleotide ribosomal RNA is filed under the name uncultured bacterium. RNAcentral's name for it is "partial 16S ribosomal RNA". It matches the Rfam family "Bacterial small subunit ribosomal RNA", at positions 28 to 507 of the family's 1533-position model. The record is from RNAcentral.